GAUGAACGCUGGCGGCGUGCCUAAUACAUGCAAGUCGAGCGAACAGACGAGGAGCUUGUUCCUCUGACGUUAGCGGCGGACGGGUGGGUAACACGUGGAUAACAUACCUAUAAGACUGGGAUAACUUCGGGAAACCGGAUCUAAUAACGGAUAAUAUAUUGAACCGCAUGGAUCAAUAGUGCAAGACGGCUUUGCUGACACAUAUAGAUGGAUCCGCGCUGCAUUAUCGAGUUGGUAAGGUAACGGCCUACCAAGGCAACGAUGCGUAGCCGACCUGAUGGGGUGAUCGGCCCCACUGGAACUUGAACCCGGGCCAAACUCCUACGGGAGGCAACAGUAGGGAAUUUUCCGCAAUGGGCGGAAACCUGACGGAGCAACGCCGCGUGAGUUAUGAAGGUCUUCGGAUCGUAAAACUCUGUUAUUAGGGAAGAACAAAUGUGUAAGUAACUAUGCACGUCUUGACGGUACCUAAUCAGAAAGCCACGGCUAACUACGUG
Molecule: ribosomal RNA, 497 nt
Filed under: uncultured bacterium
Lineage: Bacteria
Description: partial 16S ribosomal RNA
Rfam family: Bacterial small subunit ribosomal RNA
Source: RNAcentral